CGGCACUCCAGAUGUUUUGGACUACACCUCCUAUGAUGCUUUACAGAAUGAUGGGUGUAGAAGCAUUAUGGGGGAUGUAGUCCACAACAUCUGGAAUGCCG
This is a non-coding RNA of Pelobates cultripes (western spadefoot toad), 101 nucleotides long. Lineage: Eukaryota; Metazoa; Chordata; Amphibia; Anura; Pelobatidae. The record is from the annotation of a GenBank genome assembly.